Molecule: long non-coding RNA, 213 nt
Organism: Drosophila pseudoobscura
Lineage: Eukaryota; Metazoa; Arthropoda; Insecta; Diptera; Drosophilidae
Exons: 2
Source: RefSeq, a predicted model, not a curated record
CUCGCAAAAAUAUGCAGUAUUAUGGGAUUUACUAUGUUGUGAAUAACAUAAUUUUCUCAUGCACGUUAUAUAUGCAUAAUGCAUCAUUUGCAUAUUAUCACUAUUAAUUCCAAGCAAGUUUAUGUGACAUUUUGCCACAUUUUUAGAAAACCAGCAAACACAAGUAUUUAAUUGCGACCAUUAGGCAAAUCAAGGAGAGCAGAAAAAUGAAUG